UAGUAAUGGGCGAAAGCCUGAACUAGCAACGCCGCGUGUGCGAAGAAGGCCUUCGGGUUGUAAAGCACUUUUUGAGAGGAUGAGGAAGGACGGUACUCUCAGAAUAAGUCUCGGCUAACUACGUGCCAGCAGCCGCGGUAACACGUAGGAGGCGAACGUUAUCCGGAUUUACUGGGCGUAAAGCGCGUGUAGGUAGUUUGGUAAGUAGGGCGUGAAAGCUCCUGGCUCAACUGGGAGAGGCCGUUCUAAACUGCCGAACUAGAGGAUGGUAGAGGGAGGUGGAAUUCCGGGUGUAGCGGUGGAAUGCGCAGAUAUCCGGAGGAACACCAGUGGCGAAAGCGGCCUCCUGGACCAUUCCUGACACUCAGACGCGAAAGCUAGGGUAGCAAACG
This 392-nucleotide ribosomal RNA is filed under the name uncultured bacterium. RNAcentral describes it as "bacterial SSU rRNA". It matches the Rfam family "Bacterial small subunit ribosomal RNA", at positions 365 to 774 of the family's 1533-position model. The record is from RNAcentral.